AUCACUCUGGCUGUGCACUAUCCGCUUCUCCUUUGACCACGGAUGUACUGGCACUGAGAUGAGGCGGAUAACGGAAGGCCGGUUUGCCCCGGCCUUUUUGUUU
Molecule: non-coding RNA, 103 nt
Organism: Rhizobium sp. CF142
Lineage: Bacteria; Pseudomonadati; Pseudomonadota; Alphaproteobacteria; Hyphomicrobiales; Rhizobiaceae
Source: Rfam